GCCUGAUGCAGCAACGCCGCGUGCGGGAUGACGGCCUUCGGGUUGUAAACCGCUUUUAGUAGGGAAGAAGGGCUUCGGCUUGACGGUACCUGCAGAAAAAGGACCGGCUAACUACGUGCCAGCAGCCGCGGUAAUACGUAGGGUCCGAGCGUUGUCCGGAAUUAUUGGGCGUAAAGAGCUCGUAGGCGGUUUGUCGCGUCUGCUGUGAAAUCUGGAGGCUCAACCUCCAGCCUGCAGUGGGUACGGGCAGACUAGAGUGCGGUAGGGGAGAAUGGAAUUCCUGGUGUAGCGGUGGAAUGCGCAGAUAUCAGGAGGAACACCGAUGGCGAAGGCAGUUCUCUGGGCCGUAACUGACGCUGAGGAGCGAAAGCGUGGGGAGCGAACAGGAUUAGAUACCCUGGUAGUCCACGCCGUAAACGUUGGGCGCUAGAUGUGGGGACCUUUCCACGGUUUCCGUGUCGGACCUAACGCAUUAAACGCCCCGCCUGGGGAGUACGGCCGCAAGGCUAAAACUCACAGGAAUUGACGGGGGCCCGCACAAGCGGCGGAGCAAGCGGAUUAAUUCGAUGCAACGCGAAGAACCUUACCAAGGCUUGACAUGACCGAGAACGCCGCAUAAAUGUGGAACUCUUUGG
This 635-nucleotide ribosomal RNA is filed under the name Agromyces sp. So1Pw_1210. Its description in RNAcentral is "bacterial SSU rRNA". It matches the Rfam family "Bacterial small subunit ribosomal RNA", at positions 381 to 1021 of the family's 1533-position model. Lineage: Bacteria; Bacillati; Actinomycetota; Actinomycetes; Micrococcales; Microbacteriaceae. The record is from RNAcentral.